AGGCAGCAGGCGCGCAAAUUACCCAAUCCAGACUUUGGGAGGUAGUGACGAGAAAUACCGGAGUAGACCAUUAAUUGGUUCACUAUCGGAAUGAACGUAAUCUAAUACCUUCGAUGAGUAGCUACUGGAGGGCAAGUCUGGUGCCAGCAGCCGCGGUAAUUCCAGCUCCAGUAGUGUAUAUCAAAAUUGUUGCGGUUAAAACGCUCGUAGUUGGAUUACAAAAGCUCUAUGAUGGCCAAGUCUAGGUUUGGUUGUUGUGGGGUUUUUUUAUCGCGAGAGCCGUAUGUGGGAUUAAAUUCUCGUGUGCGGUCACUUGCGAAAUGUGCCUUGAAUAAAGCACAGUGCUCAAAGCAGGUGUAAGCUUGAAUGUAAUAGCAUGGAACGAAUAUAUUGACCUUGUCAAGGUUGGUUGUUGGCAGUGGUCUCGAUUAAAAGGGACAUUUGAGGGCGUUAGUACUUGGUGGCGAGGGGUGAAAUCCUUAGACCCAUCAAAGACUAACUAAUGCGAAAGCAUUCGCCAAGAGUGUUUUCAUUAAUCAAGAACGAAAGUUGGAGGUUCGAAGACGAUCAGAUACCGUCCUAGUUCCAUACAGUAAACUAUGCCAACAUGGGAUUAGCCCGGUUAAUCCAGGUUGGACCCUCGGUGAAAAUUAGUGUUUCGGUUCCGGGGAGAGUGCUCACGCAAGUGCGAAAUUUAAAGAAAUUGACGGAAUG
Molecule: ribosomal RNA, 714 nt
Filed under: Kudoa iwatai
Lineage: Eukaryota; Metazoa; Cnidaria; Myxozoa; Multivalvulida; Kudoidae
Description: SSU rRNA
Rfam family: Eukaryotic small subunit ribosomal RNA
Source: RNAcentral